AUUGAACGCUGGCGGCAGGCCUAACACAUGCAAGUCGAGCGAACCUAGCUUGCUAGGUGAGCGGCGAACGGGUGAGUAACGCGUAGGAAUCUGCCUGGUAGUGGGGGACAACGUUCCGAAAGGAACGCUAAUACCGCAUACGCCCUACGGGGGAAAGCAGGGGAUCUUCGGACCUCGCGCUAUCAGAUGAGCCUGCAUCGGAUUAGCUAGUUGGUAGGGUAAAGGCCUACCAAGGCGACGAUCCGUAACUGGUCUGAGAGGAUGAUCAGUCACACCGGAACUGAGACACGGUCCGGACUCCUACGGGAGGCAGCAGUGGGGAAUAUUGGACAAUGGGGGCAACCCUGAUCCAGCCAUGCCGCGUGUGUGAAGAAGGCCUUCGGGUUGUAAAGCACUUUAGGUCGGGAGGAAGGUUCGCUGGCUAAUAUCCAGCGGAAUUGACGUUACCGACAGAAUAAGCACCGGCUAACUCCGUGCCAGCCGCCGCGGUAA
RNAcentral lists this ribosomal RNA (492 nucleotides) under uncultured bacterium. RNAcentral describes it as "partial 16S ribosomal RNA". It matches the Rfam family "Bacterial small subunit ribosomal RNA", at positions 30 to 523 of the family's 1533-position model. The record is from RNAcentral.